CCCUUAGAUGUUCUGGGCCGCACGCGCGCUACACUGAUGAAUGCAACGAGUUCUACCCUUGACCGAAAGGCCCGGGUAAACUUGUGAAACUUCAUCGUGAUGGGGAUAGAUUAUUGCAAUUAUUAAUCUUCAACGAGGAAUUCCUAGUAAGCGCGAGUCAUCAGCUCGCGUUGAUUACGUCCCUGCCCUUUGUACACACCGCCCGUCGCUCCUACCGAUUGAAUGGUCCGGUGAAAUCUUCGGAUUGCUGACCAAGAUCCAGCAAUGGAGCUUGGUUGCGAGAAGUUGAUUAAACCUUAUUAUUUAGAGGAAGGAGAAGUCGUAACA
Molecule: ribosomal RNA, 327 nt
Filed under: uncultured eukaryote
Lineage: Eukaryota
Description: partial 18S ribosomal RNA
Rfam family: Eukaryotic small subunit ribosomal RNA
Source: RNAcentral